AAGUUUUAAAAACAGGGGAAACACCAUGAUCAGGAAGGUGGUUUUCCCAGGGCGAGGCUCAUCCUUUGCACUUUGGGAUGUGCUGACCACCAGGAUUUCCCCAAAUGUGGGAAACUCGACUGCAUAAUUUGUGGUAAUGGGGGACUGUGUUCGUGCUCUCACCUG
Molecule: small nuclear RNA, 165 nt
Organism: Nannospalax galili (Upper Galilee mountains blind mole rat)
Lineage: Eukaryota; Metazoa; Chordata; Mammalia; Rodentia; Spalacidae
Gene: U1
Rfam family: U1 spliceosomal RNA
About the family: U1 is a small nuclear RNA (snRNA) component of the spliceosome (involved in pre-mRNA splicing).
Source: Ensembl